RNAcentral lists this ribosomal RNA (254 nucleotides) under uncultured prokaryote. RNAcentral describes it as "partial 16S ribosomal RNA". It matches the Rfam family "Bacterial small subunit ribosomal RNA", at positions 524 to 777 of the family's 1533-position model. The record is from RNAcentral.
UACGUAGGAUGCAAGCGUUGUCCGGAAUCAUUGGGCGUAAAGAGCGCGCAGGCGGUCUGCCAAGUCAGAUGUGAAAUAUCCCGGCUUAACCGGGAGGGGUCAUUUGAAACUGGUAGACUAGAGUACAGCAGAGGAUAGCGGAAUUCCCGGUGUAGUGGUGAAAUGCGUAGAUAUCGGGAGGAACACCAGUGGCGAAGGCGGCUAUCUGGGCUGAAACUGACGCUGAGGCGCGAAGGCUAGGGGAGCAAACAGGA